GCCGGUCUGAAACCUCUUGAAAUCGUAGGUGCGGGCGGGUGUCUGCCCGGGUGGGAGGGGUGGGGGGGAUGGGGGUGGUGGCUGAGAGUCGCCAAUAACAAUGCAUUGAGUGGAGGAGGGGGACCCCUCGUUUUUCAGGGGUUUACCCCCCACCCCCCACCCCUCCCGUCAGCCCCAGGUGCUCGCAAGGCGAAGGAGGGCCAAGCGGAGGAGAAAGCACUCGGCAGAAGUGAUGGAGUUGCGCAGGGAAGCGCGGGAUCCCUUCCCUAGGAUGAGCAGAGGGGUUCAGCAGCGGCGGAAGACACAACCUUGUGUAAAAGCCCAGCCGUGCCCCGGGCCAGGAGAAAGGGGCAAGGCAACAGUCCUGACUGAGAUAGAUUUAUGAGAAGAAAGAUCUUGGACUCAGUAGGACUCUCCACCAAUUUGGAGUGUGGGGAAAUGAAGGGGGAAACCCAGCUAUCUUCCUUUCCAGUGCCCAAGACGGUAUCCCUUUCAACCAAAUUCAGAGCAUUGGCAGCAGAACUGCAAAAUCAAUCCACGCUGGUCAAGCUUCAAAGCAGAUCUCUGCCUAUGCCUCCUGGGGGCAUCUGCUGCCAGUAUGGGCGAGGUACCCAACACAAGAGCCAUUCUACUUUAGUGAAACCCACCUGGAAGUUGGCACCGCUUAGGGCAGGUUGGGCUGCUGUCAUUUUGAAUCUGAUACUAGUCCUGGUCCUGAUGAGAAGCAGCUGUCCAAGGUCUGAGGCUUCCUGAUGCCUGGAAAAGUGUUUCCCUGGCCCAGCUUUAUCUCAGAGUCAGAGUAAUCAAGAACGUUAAGUUUUAUUUAUCCGACGUCUAUCCUGCUUCAGGCUGAACAACUGUAGUGAGAUUCCCGUGGAUGGAGCCCACCUCACCAAGCAAGGAGAGGGAUUCGGACACCAGAGAGGCAGCAAUCCUUCUCACCUCCACUUUGGGACUGACAAGAGCUUGAAUUCCUCAAUUGCCUGAACGAAAGUUGAAGGCGAUGCCUGCAAAGGGAAGAGAUUGUUCUUCCGUUUCCAGGUAGCAUCUUGCCUUGGGAUUUUACCAAAGCACCAAAUUCCUUAUUCUGAAGAAAAACUCCAAUUCUUUUUCCAUAAAUUGUUGAAAUUCUUUUUCAUUUAGAAUUGUUUGAUUCAAAGAUGUAUGGAGAAAUAGACAUUUGAAAGGAAAACAAUAUACCUUUUAAUUCAAAUAGACACCUGUCAUGGUCCAGGACAGACAUGAUAUGGAUGUCAUCAGAUUUAAUAGACAAUAUACAAAAAAUAAAUAUUGACUCAAAUCUUUGGGCAGAUCACAAUCCAAUUAUAAUAGCAUGGAAAGGACAAAAGAAAAAGUAUAGAUGCACCAAAUUCCUUUUGGGAAAAUAUCCCCUCCCAAGUUCAUCACAAAACCCCAUUUACUGUUUAUAUGCUGGAUGUUACCAAAGAACACUGCUAUAUUCUCCCAGUGGUUUUGUUCAAAGGCAACAUUCCUCUAGCAGGAAGACUGAGAAAACUCCAAUUCAUUUUCACUCUGUGAAUGCAAGCGGAUGAAUAUUCAUUCCACAACACUGCAAAGUGACGAAAUAAGCAAGGGAAAGACGAGUAAACAAUAUUAUGUAAGAAUGUGUUUCUCUGCUAUGAGAAUUAUGUAAUUAUGUCGUUUAGAUUCUUGCAAGAUAUUUUCAGACAGCCCAAAUAGCAAAAUAUUUGUCUUGCUAUUUGUUUUGAAAAUAUGGAUGCGGUGGGUUUAUAGAUCAGGUUAAGACAUGGUUUGUUUAAAAGUGGUUUAUUGAGGAAACUGCAUUUGACUCGACUCACACUCAGACUAAUCCAUAUGACAUGGUUUAUAAGCCACUGUAGCUGAGUUUAUCUAGCAUUCUAAACCCCAACUAUGAUUUUUAGCAUGAUUUGUGAACAAAGUUGAUAUAUUAUUUCUCCCUAGAGGAAACUGCCUUUCCAAAGGAAUUGGGGGAAAAAAAACAGAUGUAUAAAUCAGGCAUAUAAAUCAUACCUAAAUGAGGCAUAAAAGUCAGAACUACUUUAUGCUGGAGCAAAACUUUUGAAUAUGCCAGAAAUAUAAGUGGUCUUGUUUAACAAUCACUUGUUCAGCAUAAAUUUGAAUUUAUGGUGGUGAUGAAUGAGAGGUAAUUAUAUUAGAAUAAAAUAGAGCUGGACGGUACCUUGGAGGUCUUCUAGUCUAGCCCCCUGUUAUGACUGGACUUUUGAAUCUGCAGCUAUUACAGCAUCUCACGGUCACAUAAUGAAGCCAGCGGGAAAUCUCAACUCAGUCACAUAAGGUCCUUGCUUAACAAAAAAUGUAGUCCUCAUUUAAUAACAGCAAUCAGGAUGCCAGAGCUGCUGUCACAAAGUACUGCAGUCACACAGUUUUUGACAACAUCGCUUAAUUACAGAAUUUCCAGUCCCAAUUAGCAUAGCUAAAUGAGGUCUACCUGUGAACUCAUCACAAUGAAUUUGGUAAUGCAGUAGAUGUGAAUGGAGGUAUUAGGAAGGAAGAAAGGAUAUUCUCCUGUUUGGCUUAAUGUAACCCCAGUGUAGUCUCAAAAGCUAUAAACAUGGAGGCAGCUUACAUGGAGCCUAAAACAGCUUUUUAAAAAAACUACUGAUCCUUAGGGAUAAUCCAUGAGAAAAACUUGAAUUAUGGACAAGUUUCUGGCUAGGCUUAUUCAUUCAUUGUCAUGAUUUUCAACUACGGCUUGAUGAACAAGCUAUAGUAUCCUAACUUACACUAGUAUACACUGAUCUACCAAGCAUGAUUUACAAUCACAGGGAUUAGAUCCAUACAUCAGCUAAGCCAAAAUUAAACUACUUUGUUUAGCAGGGUAUUAAAACUCAAACUGGGUAAUUUAAAAGUCGCAGGGGGCUGCUGAACUAUAGUAUUUCAUGAUUCAGCAUCGGAAGACAGCUUGUUAAAGCAAUGUUUUUGGGGGGUUGUUAUUUUUCUGUAUGUGCUUUGCGUUAUUUAUUAUUUGCACUCCUGGAAUUAUUUUUAUUGCUUGGUCACUUGA
Molecule: long non-coding RNA, 3028 nt
Organism: Pantherophis guttatus
Lineage: Eukaryota; Metazoa; Chordata; Lepidosauria; Squamata; Colubridae
Source: RefSeq, a predicted model, not a curated record